Chiloscyllium plagiosum (whitespotted bambooshark) is the source of this 1747-nucleotide non-coding RNA. The record is from RefSeq and is a predicted model, not a curated record. Lineage: Eukaryota; Metazoa; Chordata; Chondrichthyes; Orectolobiformes; Hemiscylliidae.
UGUCCUGUUGAAUUGUAUUUUUACUUCAAAAAAGGUUUCAUUUGACUUUUUCGUGUUUCCUGUAAUACUCAAGACACAAACUUUGCAUAUAUUUUGGUUUGACUGUAUAUGUUUCUCGCUACCUUUGUUUAGUCUCCAGAGUAAUGAUCCAGGAGAUUCAGGAAUAAAAUUACAUCUGUGGUUGAGAGGAAACCAAACUGCAAAAUACAGGGACUGGAGUAAGUAGAAGAAUGUGAGAUGUUUAUAAUGGCUAGAUAUCUGACAAUGUACACUUAAUAAAAUGUGUGCAAGUUUAAGCAUAUCAGGAAUGACAUUAAUAGCAAACAGUGGAUGUGAAAUUGGACAAGAGUGGAGAGGUAAAACAGAUGGCAUCAUAUUUGCCAGCUCUUCCAGGCCUACCCAGUAAUCAAACUCCGAAUUGAUUGAACCUAAAAUCCGGCUGUGCAUGGUACAGAAGAAUUGGGCAAUCUCCUGUAUUCUGUGUCUGUACCAGUGAAAGGACUGUAUGUGACUGAGGAAUACAAACUGUAAAAUACACACACUGCAGGAAGUACCAGCCUUUGUGGCAUUGUGUUUGACAUUGUCUGACAAUGUACUGUAUCAGCAACGAUUAAAAAGCAGUGGAUUUCUUCAUAUCAACAAUACUUUAUUCACAGUACUCAGUGAGAAUGAUAAAUUCGGUACAUUGCAAUUAAUAAAAAUGGUAUAGUAUUGGUAUUGUUAAAUAAGGUGCACUUUUGUUAGAAUUGAUAAUCGUACAAAUAUACUUCUAUCAGUAACAUUGUUCUGUAAAGACUGUACAUAGCUGCACUUUCCUUGUCCAUACUGAAUUUUAUACAUGCUAUCUUUUCUGCUUUCCAUUAUUUCCCUUGUUUGAUCCAAUUUCUAGCAUUAUUGGUGUCCGUGACAGAUUCUGGGACCUAGGAUCUCAUCUCUGCUCUCAUGGCACAUUGAUCAGUAAUGGACCUGGCCCAAAGGUCCAAAUGAACAACUGUUUGUAGCUCUGGGGAUUCCAAACUGUAAAAUAUAGAUUCUGAGGGUAUGUUCUACUGCCUUCUCAGAGCUUUGUGCUGAGAAACUUGCCCUUGCUUUCAGUACAAACCAGUCACUGAUGGAGUUGUCCAUCUCAUUAAACAUCUUAACCAACAAUUCUGUCCCCUCAUUGUUCCACCGUGUACAAACUGCAGAGUCUGCAAUGGAUCAAAUUGUGGGGAAAUGGAGUUCACUCCAAAUGGCAAGUCGCUCCCAUCCAGACUGAGAGGGACUGUGUGAAUCUUGGAAGUUAUGAGCAUCACCACUGUUGUCAUUUGAAUAUUUUUCGCUGAUUCUGCACCCUACCCCACUUCCUUCAACCGGCUGUGUUCAAGGUUGAAAUUCUAUUGACCAUUUCCCAGUCUCCACUCGAGAUAAGGGAGGGCCAUCUCUCAUUGUGAGGUCAGAGGCCCAGUCAUAGGGUCAUGAGACUCAGGGGCCCGGACUCGGUGUGGUUUCUACAGGAUAUCUUUGCCUCAUUGUGACCUGCUGGGGACAUGCAUUGGCAUGAAGAAGCCAGAGUGGGACUCUGACUGGACUGCAAUGGAACAGUGACAGUUACACUCAAUAUUCGUGUGUCUGUGGGGUACAUUACUCCAGGUUCCUGCUCAGUACCUUGCCCAGUAAGCCUGCUGGAAGGUUUAGAUUACUUACAGUAGUGGAAACAGGUCCUUCGGCCCAACAAGUCCACAUCGAUCCUCUGAAGAGCAACCCA